RNAcentral lists this ribosomal RNA (440 nucleotides) under uncultured bacterium. RNAcentral's name for it is "bacterial SSU rRNA". It matches the Rfam family "Bacterial small subunit ribosomal RNA", at positions 28 to 509 of the family's 1533-position model. The record is from RNAcentral.
GAUGAACGCUAGCGGCAGGCUUAAUACAUGCAAGUCGAACGCCCCGCAAGGGGAGUGGCGGACGGGUGAGUAACACGUGGGAACCUGCCCAAUGGUUCGGGAAUAACCGCGGGAAACUGCGGCUAAUACCGGAUAAGCCCUCUGGCAACAGGGGGGAAAGAUUUAUCGCCGAUGGAGGGGCCCGCGUCCGAUUAGGUAGUUGGUGGGGUAACGGCCUACCAAGCCUACGAUCGGUAGCUGGUCUGAGAGGANGAUCAGCCACACUGGGACUGAGAUACGGCCCAGACUCCUACGGGAGGCAGCAGUGGGGAAUAUUGGACAAUGGGGGCAACCCUGAUCCAGCAAUGCCGCGUGAGUGAUGAAGGCCUUAGGGUUGUAAAGCUCUUUACCGGGACGAUGAUGACGGUACCCGGAGAAUAAGCCCCGGCUAACUUCGUGCC